AGAGCAGGUCUGUGUCUCCACCUUGAGCCAGGGGAGCAGACCCAAGGGGCCCUCUGGAGCUGAGCAAACCCCCUGCCCAGGCUCUGUCCUCCUUCUUCCUCUGCAGAUUGGCCUCAUGGAGGUGCUGGUGGAGAAGAUUUUUGACCUGGCAUUCAUGCCCGCAAUGAACGCUGUGCUGGGUUCUGGCGUCCCUCUCCCCAAAAUCCUCAACAUCGACUUUAGCAAUGCAGACAUUGACGUGUUGGAGGACCUUUUGGUGCUGAGCGCAUGAGUGACAGAGGCAGAGAUGCUGCUGCAACUGGAAGAAGCUGGAACCAGUCCCAGAGAGGCUCGGCCUGGAAACAGUCCCCUGCCCAGAGUCCCCUCAGCCUCCAUGACAGGUCCCUCCCUGGCCCCCCAACCCUCUUCCUCCCUUGCCCCAACCCUGAGAAAGGAUCCAGCCACUACCCUGUUGGCAAACAUUCCCUUCCAUGGUCAGCCUGCCAGGAGGAGGGGAGUCACCUUGGGGCUGGAGGCCUCUCAGACCCCAUCCUGACAGCAGGUUGAGUAUUCCCACUUUCAAUAAAAGACUCCACUUUCCUGGCA
RNAcentral lists this small RNA (585 nucleotides) under Pan troglodytes (chimpanzee). RNAcentral describes it as "processed transcript". Lineage: Eukaryota; Metazoa; Chordata; Mammalia; Primates; Hominidae. The record is from RNAcentral.